Molecule: transfer RNA, 85 nt
Filed under: bacterium
Lineage: Bacteria
Also listed under: 2 other names
Description: tRNA-Leu
Rfam family: tRNA
About the family: Transfer RNA (tRNA) molecules are approximately 80 nucleotides in length.
Source: RNAcentral
GCGCCAGUGACGGAAUCCGGCAGACGUGCAGGGUUUAGGUCCCUGUGAGCUUCGGCUCGUGUGGGUUCGAAUCCCACCUGGCGCA